CUCCUCCAUCAGACCAAAGAUAUAUACAGCAUCGUGCAUCUUAUUUGAAACAUCAAUUGAUUUGUAAAAAAAUACUUUUCAUCACAGUAUGUCAAAAAACUAAUGAUGCUCAGUCUAGUAGGACCGAUCCAACCAUCACACAUCACUGUCAGUCCGUAUGUAGGCCAUUUAUUCUUGUAAGAAGCAAUUCAUCUCUGUAAAUCCUUCUUGUUACUGUCAACAAGCUGACCAUAGAUGUUCUUAGGUCCUAGCGGAUCUACAUCCUGACUGACAGCCUCUAUGGCUAAAAUGAUAGAUCGAUAGUAAGGAUUGCCUGCUGCAUUUGCUGGAAUAUGACUAAAAUAAAACCAUAAUCUAAUAGCUCGCCACAUAUCCUUCUUCUUAUCCUUUUUCACCAUAGUGUUAAUCAUCUGCUGCUUUGAAUUCUUGCUGAAAAAAGCAUGUAAAUCCAAAUCAUGGAUGAUGGCUUCUGCUGAAUAUCUUUGGAGGAUCUCUUCCUACUGCCAAAAGCUCCCAACAAAGAUGAAAUGAUGUGUCUUCUUUCUCUACCAUCAGGCUCUCUGACUGAGGUAGUCCUUCUGAACUCGAAUUCUCCCCC
Molecule: long non-coding RNA, 598 nt
Filed under: Elaeis guineensis (African oil palm)
Lineage: Eukaryota; Viridiplantae; Streptophyta; Magnoliopsida; Arecales; Arecaceae
Description: long non-coding RNA (EGUI_LNC075667)
Source: RNAcentral